AAGACUAUACUUUCAGGGAUCAUUUCUAUAGUUCGUUACUAGAAUUAGAACCUUCACAAUGGGAAUCUGGGGCAUGCAUAUUAUUAGCAGGAUGGAAGGUAGUAUAAGUCAAACAAUGCA
Rattus norvegicus (Norway rat) is the source of this 120-nucleotide small nucleolar RNA. Ensembl annotates it as small nucleolar RNA U3. Lineage: Eukaryota; Metazoa; Chordata; Mammalia; Rodentia; Muridae. The record is from Ensembl.